AUUGAACGCUGGCGGCAUGCUUUACACAUGCAAGUCGAACGGUAACAGGGAGCUUGCUCCGCUGACGAGUGGCGAACGGGUGAGUAAUAUAUCGGAACGUACCCAAGAGUGGGGGAUAACGUAGCGAAAGUUACGCUAAUACCGCAUACGAUCUAAGGAUGAAAGCAGGGGACCUUCGGGCCUUGUGCUCCUGGAGCGGCCGAUAUCUGAUUAGCUAGUUGGUGAGGUAAAGGCUCACCAAGGCGACGAUCAGUAGCUGGUCUGAGAGGACGACCAGCCACACGGGACCUGAGACACGGUCCAGACUCCUACGGGAGGCAGCGGUGGGAAAUUUUGGACAAUGGGCGCAAGCCUGAUCCAGCAAUGCCGCGUGAGUGAAGAAGGCCUUCGGGUUGUAAAGCUCUUUUGUCAGGGAAGAAACGGGAUUGGCUAUAUCCAGUCCUAAUGACGGUACCUGAAGAAUAAGCACCGGCUAACUACGUG
This 483-nucleotide ribosomal RNA is filed under the name uncultured bacterium. RNAcentral describes it as "partial 16S ribosomal RNA". It matches the Rfam family "Bacterial small subunit ribosomal RNA", at positions 30 to 507 of the family's 1533-position model. The record is from RNAcentral.